AGCUGGCUGGCUUAGUAGUAGAGCGUGUGACUCUUGAUCUCGGGGUUGUGAGUUCAAGACCCACGUUGGGUG
RNAcentral lists this transfer RNA (72 nucleotides) under Ailuropoda melanoleuca (giant panda). It matches the Rfam family "tRNA". Rfam says of the family: Transfer RNA (tRNA) molecules are approximately 80 nucleotides in length. Lineage: Eukaryota; Metazoa; Chordata; Mammalia; Carnivora; Ursidae. The record is from Rfam by way of RNAcentral.